CAAAUCAGUUUGUUUAUGUGUUGGGGAGAGUUGGGCUGUUGGUGAGGGUGCGAGCCCAAAUCAUUACUCUGCUCAUCUCUACACUAUACAACAUUUGCGCUUGUUGUGUUUGACAGAGUAAUCUAUAUUCAAUAAUGA
Molecule: unclassified non-coding RNA, 138 nt
Filed under: uncultured fungus
Lineage: Eukaryota; Fungi
Description: sequence contains ITS1
Source: RNAcentral